Olea europaea var. sylvestris is the source of this 2219-nucleotide RNA transcript. It is a transcript of the gene named 5-amino-6-(5-phospho-D-ribitylamino)uracil phosphatase, chloroplastic-like, with no coding region annotated. NCBI's taxonomy places the organism in Eukaryota, Viridiplantae, Streptophyta, Magnoliopsida, Lamiales, Oleaceae. The transcript is spliced from 4 exons. The record is from RefSeq and is a predicted model, not a curated record.
AUUAUAGGGUCUAACUCUCAAUUGAUUGAGAAGCUCCAACGACGUCCCUGUACUACUUUCUUGGAUUAGAGGUCCAGCAUUGUCUAUCUGGCACACUCUUGCAUCAAAAUAAGUAUACAUAGGAACUACUCUUACUAGUAGGUCUUGAGGAUAGUAAUUCGUUUCUUACACCUAGGGAGAUCAAUUUGAAGUUGCGCCAAGAGGGUGGUGGUUUCUUAUUUGAUCCCUUAAUGCAUCGGCAGCUUGAAUUAUUUGGCCAUUACCAGACUUGAUAUUUCCUUUGCUGUCCAACAAAUCAGUUAAUUUAUGCUAGCACGUUUCAUACUCAUUUGGAUACUAUUCAUCAUCUUCUUUGGUACCUCAAAGGUACCUCUGGCUGCGAUUUGUUCUUACGGUUUGGGACUUCUUUGCAAUUGGUGGGAUUUAGGGAGGCAGAUUAGGCUGGUGGUAUUAAUACUCGUCAUUCUAUCACUGUUUGGUGUAGGUUUCUUGAUGGUGUCCUUAUUUCUUGGAAAAGUAAGAAGCAAGGUUGUUUUUUGAAGUCUUCCAUCAAGUCUAAAUAUCUAGCCAUGUCAUCAGCCUGUUCUGAAAUCAUUUGGCUUCAUGGCUUGUUGGGCGAAAUUAGUUUUCCACAACUAACUCCUACUUCUUUUCAUGCUGAUAAUAUGUUCCAUGAGCAUACUAAGUAUAUUGAGGUAGAUUAUCAUUCUAUUCUUGAAGUGCUUGGACUUCAUGAAAUUUCCCUCCCUCACAUCUCCAUAGAAAACCAAACAGCUGAUAUAUUUACCAAAGCUUUAGCCAUCAGUUUAUAGUUGACAAAUGGAUGCUUCUUGAUGGCCCAUCAUCAAUUUGAGGGGAGAUGUCAAUGAGUUGUCCGAGAUUCUGAAGUAGAAUAUUUGAUUAUAUUUCUUAAAUUAAGAAAUUUGAUUUUACAUAAUUUUACAAUUCCUAGAAUCGGAGAUUUCAUUGUAAUUUACCAUAAUUAGAUAGCUGUAAUCUUCCAUAUAAAUGAUACAUAGAACCUCAAUUCACAGGCAUUUGAAGGAAAUCAAAGUUAAACAUUUUCAUCUCUGUGUCUGGUGGAGCAUUGACAUUUACAGUUCCCCUACUAUAUCCUUUCUACGUCUGUGUUACAAUUAUGAUGUCUGACUUUAAUUAUUACUUUAAAACUUUUGGUUUUGUUUGCUUCUUUCAUGUGAAUGUGAUUGUGUUGUAAUCCAUGUUGUGUUUAUUAACUGAACUUCGAAUGAAUAUGGACCCAGUUCCAUCUCUAUGAUAGGUGGAUUUUGAAGUUUAUCUUAGACCAUUUCUCCUGGUUUUUUGGAUUGUUCAGAAUGAACAUUUCACAGAGUUAAAGAUGUUCCAAGCACAAAUUGCAAUGAAGAGCAUCCCAGACACCUUUUAGCAGUGAAGAGAGAAGCUUAAACAGAGCUCGGGAAAGAGCGAAGAACCAAAAAAAAAAAUAUACUGAUUACAACAUAGUGCUUUUAGAUUGUUGAUAUUUUUGGUGCUGGAAAGUGAUUAAUAUAUUAAACAUGUCUAAAAUUUUGAGUAAAAAGGAAAAAGUAAAUGGGAUCUUUGUUCUACUGCGAAGCUGACAUCUUUUGAUGUUGCAGGCAAUUGUAUCUGAUGAAGAUGGUAUGGAGUCCAUAGCCCAUAGAUUCCUUUCUGCAGCUGUAAAGCUAGACCGAAAACCGUCCAAGUGUAUUGUGUUUGAGGAUGACCCCAGGGCAAUAACUGCUGCUCAUAAUUGUACAAUGAUGGCUGUAGCAUUAAUAGGCGCUCAUCCAGCGUAUGAUCUUGGGCAGGCUGAUCUUGCAGUUGCGAGCUUUAACGAGCUUUCUGUGAUAAAUUUGCGGAGAUUAUUUGCUCACAAGGGUUCAACUUUCAUGGAAUUAGAAAAGCAGAUGAUAGAGAUAGAGACAACUCCUUCGCGAAGAAAGCUCAGAAUCGACACUAUUUUCUGAUUUGCACCCAAUACCAUUUUUCUCUUCUCCGUCUCUCUUCAUUUGAUUCCUUUUAAAUCUGUAACAAGGGGUAGAUCAUUUUAUGAUCUCUUUUUCUCUUGGCCUUUUUGCAUAUUUCUUUCUUUUGCCUUUUGGUUUAAUAGAGAAGGAAAACAAAUUACAAGGAAGUGUAUAUGAACUCUGUUAUAAUGUAAGAAAUCUCGCUUGUAUAUAAUUUUUCCCUGGAAAUACCAGUCCUUGACUUUGAUCAAA